Molecule: non-coding RNA, 990 nt
Organism: Nicotiana tabacum (common tobacco)
Lineage: Eukaryota; Viridiplantae; Streptophyta; Magnoliopsida; Solanales; Solanaceae
Source: RefSeq, a predicted model, not a curated record
UUAGUUCCUUUUUAAAACUUUUGAGUAAUUACGAAGUUGAAUUUUGAGAAUUUGGGUAUUAUAUGAAAUACUUAUUCAACAAACUUUGUUUUAAAAAGUCUCUGGGGCUUAUGACUCACUAAAAAAACGUGCCUCAAACGCCCGGGCGUACGCCUCUUGAGACUUUCGCCCCACACCAUCGUCUCGGGGAGUUUUAGUACGCCUCGCCCCAGGGCUCGCCCCGAAAACGCCUUUUAAAACACUGGUUCUCUGCCAUGACCAUGAAAAGUGUUGGUAGUGCAGCUCUGAAGAUGGUUGAGGAAGUUCGCCGACAAUUUAAUACCAUUCCUGGUCUCAUGGAGGGCCAUGCGAAGCCUGAUUAUGCUACUUGUGUUAAGAUCUCGACUGAUGCAUCUAUUAAGGAAAUGAUUCCCCCAGGUGCUCUUGUCAUGCCUACACCUCUCAUAGUUGGGAUUUUCUUUGGAGUGUAGACUCUUUCUGGUGUUCUUGCUGGUGCUUUGGUUUCUGGUUUUCAGGCUGGUACUUCAGAGCAUGCAAGGACCCUUGGCCCAAAGGGUUCGGAACCCCACAAAGCUACGGUUAUUGGGUGACACCAUUGGUGACCCUUUGAAGGACACUUCAGGUCCAUCACUCAAUAUCCUAAUCAAGCUGAUGGUAGUAGAGUCGCUUGUCUUUGCUCCAUUCUUUGCCACUCAUGGUGGUCUACUUUUCAAGAGUUUUUAAGUAAAGAGUUGGGAGACUUACGGAGCCCUAUUAGUUAAUCCUUUUGUCACCAACCUUUCUACUCUGAUUACCCCAAGCAUGGGAUUUUUGAGUUAGUUCUUAGCUAGUCACAGGUUUAACUUUUGAUGAGAAGAUACUUACGACAACACGACUAGUUAAUUUUGAAGGAUUAUAAUAAGCAGCGGAAGCAAUCCCAGUAUCAAAAUCACAUGUAAUUUAGACAACUAGCAUAAAUGAAAUUUUACGGGUUACCUCUUGAAGCGUGAA